GUCUUGUUGAAGAUUUCUGUAUACCUGAGGUUUUAUGAAGCCUGGGACCUUGCUGCUCUGCUGUCAUUGAGGUGCUCUCCAUUGCAUUAAACAAGGAUAUUGCAGGGAGCAAAGCUGGCUGCUUAGAGCCCCUGAAGAGAGCCACCACCAUCUUGAUGCUGCUCAGCACAGUGUGCCUCCUGCAGACAGAGAGCAAAACCAGUUCUCUGCUGCCAGCUAGAGAAAAGUUUUUCCAUGGCAGCAGCACACACGGACUGCAGUUGGUGACCUGAGGCAGGGCUCCAGUGCCUGGCUGCCUUCAGACAAAGCUCUCUGCUGGCACUGCACUCUCUGGGAAGGACCGAAGAUGCUCUCCCAUCAAGGAGCAGAGCUGUGUGGUGCCUGGUGCCAUGAGCUGCACUCGUGCUGUGCUGCUACACAGGUACUCACACAAGAGGGCCCUGCAGAACACCCUGUGUGCACAUGUGUGUGCUGGCGGUCUGUGGAAAAAGGAUGAGAUUUGAUACCAAUUCCCUUAAUUUAUUCACACCAAAUGUCAGUGAGGUGUCAUAUAAAAAUCUUUAAUGAUUUUAAAACAAAUGGUCCUUGAGGCAGGAAAAUAGUUAUAGUGCCGUUUCUAAAAUUAAUUUAAUGCCUUUGGAAUAGAAAUAAAAAUGAACGCCUGCUCAGCUGUGUGUGCACCUCAAAAAGCAUCUGUCUGUACCUGAGGACCCUCCGGCUGCCCCGGGCUUCCUGGCUACAUGGCCCAUGUCUGCGGGGCUGUAUUGCAGGCUGUGUUCUCAUUGCCUUGCUGCAACAAGCACCUGUGCUAAUUAGUACCUGCAAUUUGCUUUACACAGAAGCAGAACCUAUUUUUAUGACAUUUCCAAAUGACUCAUAACAGUGCAUCUCCUCACCAUGUGUGCUGAAGCCCAGGCCAGCACUGUGUUCCAGGCCUGGAGUCCUCUGUGCAGGCUGCUGGGAUGGCAGUGCAUGGUGCUGCUGUACCCUGACAUACUGCUGGCAGUGGCUCCAGCCCUGCGGUCACUGCAACACUUGAGCAUGUGUGUCUUAA
Molecule: long non-coding RNA, 1054 nt
Organism: Lagopus muta (rock ptarmigan)
Lineage: Eukaryota; Metazoa; Chordata; Aves; Galliformes; Phasianidae
Exons: 3
Source: RefSeq, a predicted model, not a curated record